This 65-nucleotide ribosomal RNA is filed under the name Lactobacillus crispatus. Lineage: Bacteria; Bacillati; Bacillota; Bacilli; Lactobacillales; Lactobacillaceae. The record is from RNAcentral.
UACGGUGGCGAAAGCAAGAAGGAUACACCUGUUCCCAUGCCGAACACAGAAGUUAAGCUUCUUAA